UACGGGGGGGGCAAGCGUUGUUCGGAAUUACUGGGCGUAAAGGGCUCGUAGGUGGCCAACUAAGUCAGACGUGAAAUCCCUCAGCUUAACUGGGGAACUGCGUCUGAUACUGGAUGGCUUGAGUUUGGGAGAGGGAUGCGGAAUUCCAGGUGUAGCGGUGAAAUGCGUAGAUAUCUGGAGGAACACCGGUGGCGAAGGCGGCAUCCUGGACCGAGAUUGACACUGAUGAGCGAAAGCCAGGGGAGCAAACGGG
RNAcentral lists this ribosomal RNA (253 nucleotides) under uncultured bacterium. RNAcentral describes it as "partial 16S ribosomal RNA". It matches the Rfam family "Bacterial small subunit ribosomal RNA", at positions 524 to 776 of the family's 1533-position model. The record is from RNAcentral.